AAAAUUAAAAUAAAUAGAGCCGAAGAACCUCAAGUCAGUUAUACGCCCUCGAGACCCCGAAGCACAACUACGAAAGUGGCUCCACCUAAUUUCUGAUUCCACGAAAGCCGUAGAACAAACUGGGAUUAGAUACCCCACUAUGUACGGUUGUUAAAAUUGAUGGUCCUAUACACCGACCAUCCGCCUGGGAAUUACGAGCAACAGCUUAAAACCCAAAGGAUUUGGCGGUGCUUUAAACCCCCCUAGAGGAGCCUGUUCUGUAACUGAUAACCCCCGUUAAACCUCACCAUCCCUUGUUUAAUCCGCCUAUAUACCACCGUCGUAAGCUUACCCUGUGAAGGAGUAACAGUUAGCGCAGAUGGCAAAGCCAAGAACGUCAGGUCGAGGUGUAGCGUAUGAGAUGGGAAGAAAUGGGCUACAUUCUCUGCUUUAGAGAAUACGAAUGGUCAAUUUGAAAAAGAUUACCUGAAGGAGGAUUUAGUAGUAAGUAGAGAACAGAGUGCCCUACUGAAAAAGGCCCUGAAGCACGCACAUACCGCCCGUCACUCUCUCCGA
This 555-nucleotide ribosomal RNA is filed under the name Trachyrincus scabrus (roughsnout grenadier). Its description in RNAcentral is "partial 12S ribosomal RNA". It matches the Rfam family "Bacterial small subunit ribosomal RNA", at positions 637 to 1409 of the family's 1533-position model. Lineage: Eukaryota; Metazoa; Chordata; Actinopteri; Gadiformes; Macrouridae. The record is from RNAcentral.